Molecule: long non-coding RNA, 1373 nt
Filed under: Oryzias javanicus (javanese ricefish)
Lineage: Eukaryota; Metazoa; Chordata; Actinopteri; Beloniformes; Adrianichthyidae
Description: lncRNA (ENSOJAG00000005856.1)
Source: RNAcentral
GUGAAGCAGAAUCCUUACGUAAUUCAAUAAAAAAUUAAAGCUUCCUCUGAGGGUUAUGCAUUUAGCCGCUGUCUUUCCUUACAUUAACAAUAAAAAAAGCUCUGACAUCCGAGUUUUGAGGGUUACAUAAGUCACUGCAGCACAUUAACCCACAUGUUCCUUCAAGCAUGAAUCGCAUUUCAGAGAGCUCUUCUCUCCCCGACUGGACGGCCAAAUCCUUCCUGAUGAGUAGGGUCUUUUCAUGAAGCUUUUGGAGUGCGGGUAUAGGACAAAAGAGCAGGGACACACUGGAGCCUCUUCAGUACAGCAGUCGGCUGUUGGGCUUCACAUGUCCGCUCACGGGUCUAAAGGCUGGAUUUGGAACUGCAUCUAGGCCGCCUGCAACUGUACGAGGACCUGACGAAAACUGACGUCUCUAAACUCAUCAGCAAGAAUGAUCCUCAGACUUGGAAGGCUGACACCAGGAUACUUUUGUCUUCUUCAGAGGCAGAUGUCAGGUGAGGUCCGGCUGCAGCCGCAGAGGAGCAUCGUGGAGCACGUUGCCAUGACAAUGGCCACGGUGGGGACGGGCAUGUCUCUGUACAGUGCCAGGCAGAUGGCAGUCAAACGCCUGGGAGAUCACUGAAGGCUCUGUGGACACUGUUUGAGACUGUGAAUGUCAGAGAGGGUUUGUGAGGGAGCAGGCUGAAAGGAAUGAUGUGUUUUUGCUGCUGCUGGCAGGAAAAUGUAAGUCUCUCAAAAGAAAGGGUGGGAUUUAUUCUCUUAAAUGUGAGCGAAUGUGAGUUUUCAAUACAAAUGUUAACUUCUAGAGUAAACAUUGACUAGCAUUAAAAUAAACUACAAAACUGUAAGUGUGAGGAGAAAGUGGCGGGAAACAGUCAUUAUCACUUGUUUUUGUUGUUUAUCUCAGGCACAGUUUUCCCCCAUAAAGGUUUGCCUUUUUUGGCAAACAUAUAAUCAAUAAUUUACUGAACCACACAACUACAAUUUCACUUUUGAUUCUGACCAUUUGUUCAAGGAUUAAUUCUGAAUAGUCACUGUGAUUCUUUGAAAUAAAUGAGUAAGAAUUUCCGGGGUCUGUGUUUUCAGUUUUUUUCAGCUUCGAAAGUAGUAAGUGUGUAUAAUUAUUAAUUUAGCAGUUGAAACAGUACAACACAUGGCCUAAUGAACAUCAAUUACAAAUCGAGUAACAGGAGGGGGUAAAUGAUCACUUGUUUACUGAAAUAAAUAAAGAUGCUUCAUUUUACUGCAAAUAUUUUUUUAUCUUUUGUUCUUUAAAUAGUAUCAAUAGUUCUAAAAAUAUCUUGAAAUCACUAAUAAAUACUUUAAUUUUUUUUCAGAGAAAACCGUCACAUAUUUAUAUUUACUUAACU